AUUUCUCUAAGCCAGAUGAAUAGUGUAGUAUUGUAUUGUAUAUUGCAAUUAUCAGCUUAAUAUCUGAUACGGUUCUUAUUGAGAACCCAGUAUAUUAAUCUGAUUUUUGGAAAUUGGUCGAGUCCCGGAGCUUGCUCCGGUUUGACCACGAGUUGCCCUGUCAUUGCAGUACAGGCGGGAGCAGCUCAAUCAAC
This is a small nuclear RNA of Microplitis mediator, 194 nucleotides long. RefSeq annotates it as U2 spliceosomal RNA. The record is from RefSeq and is a predicted model, not a curated record. NCBI's taxonomy places the organism in Eukaryota, Metazoa, Arthropoda, Insecta, Hymenoptera, Braconidae. The transcript has a single exon.